UACGGGGGGUGCAAGCGUUGUUCGGAAUUAUUGGGCGUAAAGAGCGUGUAGGCGGCUAGAUAAGUCAGAUGUGAAAUCCCUGGGCUUAACCCAGGACGUGCAUUUGAAACUAUCUAGCUUGAGUAAGGGAGAGGAAAGUGGAAUUCCUGGUGUAGAGGUGAAAUUCGUAGAUAUCAGGAGGAACACCGGUGGCGAAGGCGACUUUCUGGCCCUAUACUGACGCUGAGACGCGAGAGCGUGGGUAGCAAACAGG
This 253-nucleotide ribosomal RNA is filed under the name uncultured bacterium. RNAcentral describes it as "partial 16S ribosomal RNA". It matches the Rfam family "Bacterial small subunit ribosomal RNA", at positions 524 to 776 of the family's 1533-position model. The record is from RNAcentral.